This is a non-coding RNA of Rattus norvegicus (Norway rat), 2808 nucleotides long. Lineage: Eukaryota; Metazoa; Chordata; Mammalia; Rodentia; Muridae. The record is from RefSeq and is a predicted model, not a curated record.
CUUUUGCUGACUCUCCUCAAGGGGAAUGCUGCCAGGUAGGUCAUCAUCCUGCUUCUGGUCUAACUGCUUCUGACUGAGGAAGCGGCAGGCUGCCUUUAAUCCCAGCACUCUGAAGGCAGAGGUAGUCAGAUCUCCAUGUUCAAGGCCAGCCGGGUCUCCAGAAGGAGUUCCAGCACAGCCAAGGCUACACCCAAGAGAAACCCUAUCUUGGAAAAAAAAAAGGGGUGGGGGGGAGUGGUAGUGAGGACACACAAGCCUGGCUGUGGCACCAGCUUAAGUGAAAGGCUGCUAAUAGGAAAAGAAGCCUCACUCCUUUGGGGGGCGGGGAACAAAAACAAGAAAGAAAAAGAAAAUACCAAACAAGCUUACCUGCAGCCCCAUCUUAUAGAGGCAUUUUCUCAACCGAAGUUCCUACCUCUUUGAUGAUUACCAAGUGGACAUAAAACUAGCCAGCACAUUUGAUAAAAAGAUGAAUUCAUCUCCGCCCAUGCUGAGCCUAAACUGACUGUGUUUUAGCUGAGUCAGGGUGUCGGGUAGGCCAUGGGACGCAUGGCUUCAGAGCUCAGGAAAGGACUAGAAGUCGCGGAGUUGAAAUACCUGAAGUGAUUUGAGUAGAUGAGGUCAUUGGGAGAGCCUGGACACACAGCCUCAUUUUAGGGAUGGGCCCGGGUUGGUAAGCAAGCAGAAGAUCAGGAAGUGGAGGCAGCAAGUUUAGACAAGUAGUUCUGAAGGUUUCACUAUAAACAGGGAGGAAUGUAAUGCAGUCGUUAAGUGGAGUAGCCUGAGGCUAAGAGAGGGUGUGUGUGUGUGUCUCUGUGUGGCUGUUGUUGAUGAUGAUGAUAGACAGGACACACUCGUGUUUAAUAAGAAAACAGGGUCUGCUGACUUCUAGUUCAGGGUUAUUGGAUCAUCCCAACCUCCUUGAGAAAGCACUAGCCCAGUUAAUAUCAGGAACUCUGGGUCAGACAGAGACAUAUUCUUUUGGAGGAGACAGCCUUCUUUGUCUCUAGAAAGCCACAGGCUGCUUCCAACCACGCAUGGUGACUCUGCACCCCUGCCUCCAGGAAAUCACUUGAGGAUUGACUCAGAGGAUGAGUUUUUCAGGAUGGCUUAUCUUUCAGGGCCCUAAAGAGAAUUCUCCCAGUGGGCCGGCAGGAGACAUCCUCGUUCUUUCAGGACUCUGCUGUGGGUACCUACAAUGGGGUCUGGUGAUGAAGCUGGAGAAACACUCAGAACCCAGGAAGACAGACAUUCCUUGUCAGCUUCUACAAUGCAGUUAAAUUACUCUGACAUUACUCCGUGCCUGUCUGAUGUCCAGCCCUGCUAGUACAUCUGUGGGUCAAAGUUCACCACUGUCUCCCGCUACCUAGAGACAGAGAAAACAGAAGGAAUAACCUACCAAUGACAACAUAGCCUUCUGGAACCGUGUAAGAGAGCCCCCAGGACAGGGAAUCCAAGAGGACUCUCUCAGGGAGCCCAGUAUUACAUACUUAAUGGGAAAAAAACAACAAAACUAUAAUUUCCAAAUACCAUCAAUUACCUUCAAUCACCCUGAAUGAUCCUGGGCAUAGUCUUCUGCCCUUCCUUCCUUCCUCCCUCCCUUCCUCCCUUCCUUCCUUCCUUCCUUCCUUCCUUCCUUCCUUCCUUUCCUUUCUUUUUAAUGGCAAUGCAAUUUAUUUAAAAUUUAUCUUUUUUUCUUAAGCACUUGUUUCACAACCAGGAGACAGAGCGCAAAUCUUUGCAGAACAUCUACUUCUGGGAGCAAAUUAAAAACAAAUAAGGUUUCCUCUCAAAACCUAGAGCCAUCCAUGGUGCUUGCUGGUAACGUGUCUGUCAACAAAUCCUGUUCGUGUCGCCUUCAAAUGCUCAGAGAUGCACACAUCUCAGCACUCCCUUUGCCUCCACAUCGAACCAAAUCUCCAUCACCUCCACCUGGUGUAAUGCGGGAGCCUUCCGGUGGCGGUGGCGUGCUAUGCUUCUGUCUUCUUCCAACCGGGCCACGCCACACCCAGAACAAGCGGUCCUUUGAAUCGGAGUGCUCUUUUCCGAAUGCAGCAUCCCUACACUCUGCGACAUCAAAACCGCAGUGGCUCCGUCUCACGAAGAGUAAUUCCCUCUCUUUGACACUGCUUGUCUGCUGACACUGUCUACUAGUCACCUGGAUCUCCGUAAGAUGCCCACAGACGUGCUUGCCCACCAGCACGGGCACUUUGCAUUUGAGGAUAUUUUUGCCGACAGCCUCUUUCUCUCAGCCCAGCUUUGCUGGCCUCUGUGAUUCUUGCUUGCCCUAACUGGGACGUAGCAGACCUUCUCACACUGGGCCUGGGCAGUUCCCAAAUCACAACUGAAGACCACGAAGGAAGAAGAUGGCUGACUGAGUGCAUCAUUCUGUUCUACGGCCUGCAGUAGUCAUGGCGACACAGAACACAAUUCUGAAAGGCCUCAGCUUCUAGGUACAUCCAAGUGCCCUUCUUAGGGGCUCCUGAUGUUGUAAGGUAACUGGUUUAACUCCUUCCUCUCUCUGGAUUUGGAUGGUUGAGGGACUUUCUGCAGCACAACUGACCUUUAGCUGCCUUUUGGCCAGCAACGUGCUGCUCAGACUCUGUAUGGGAAAAACACCUGCCCUGUGAUUAAUUGUGUCUUCCCCAGCUCAAAUCUCAGACUAGCCUGAAAAGUUCCACUUGGGUUUAUCACCCACAAUUUUCUCUCUUAGCUGGAAAGUGCAGAAUAUCAUCGCAAAAGCCAUGUAUGAGAGUCUGCCAACACAUGAUAUGAAAAAUGCAAAUAAAAACGAGAUCUAGAUGGGGA